GUUUUUAUCUUUUCGUCUAUGAAAUAGAUGAUAGAACCAAUCGCAUCACGGCGGUCGCAAUAAGUAAUUAUUGCGAACACUGCUGACUUUUCGGUAAAACCCCAUGCUGGGCAAUACCGAGGGAUUGUCAAUCCUGUAGAGGCCAUACGUCAGCCCUCCUUAAAAGGAAGAAGAGAUGGUCCAAUGCGCACAGUAAUGUGCGG
This 203-nucleotide non-coding RNA is filed under the name Parcubacteria group bacterium GW2011_GWB1_53_43. RNAcentral also lists the same sequence under 1 other name. The record is from RNAcentral.